GGGCUGAGUAUAUAGGAUGUGGCCCAGGCAGCAAUAGGGCUGAGUAUAUAGGAUGUGGCCCAGGCAGCAAUAGGGCUGAGUAUAUAGGAUGUUGAUGUGGCCCAGGCAUAAUUCUUAAAACAGAAUUAUAUAUAUAUAUAAUUCUGUUUUAAGAAUUAUUUUAAAUUAGAAGAUGUAUUGUUUUGACCAGGAACGUGUCUGUCUCCACGUAGGACUUACAUCAUCACCCAGACUCCUUUCUGCAUGCAACAGGACUAGCCUAUUUAUCCGGCACUUCAUGAAACUUGGUGUUAGACUCGUGGGUUUUCUUUAGUUUAAACUCACAGGUGGGUAGUCAAAAGAUAUGGUGGGGGGGGUGACUACUCUUGGGAGUACCAGUGACAUAGUCGUCAGAUUUCAAAUGUUUUGGAGUUCAAUCAAAUCUGCAGUGACCAGAAACCAGAAUCACUGCGCAAACAUAGCAAGCGUGUUUUCAUUACAAGAAUGAAAUCUGUUUUGUCACCCCCCCCAGCCCAUUGAACAAUGUCUUGCUAAUUACUUUAGAUAAAACCAUGCACUUUUCUUCUGGCUCAAGAACAAAUGUUUGAAUGAAUUCUAGCCUACGCUCAAUCCCUCUUGCACAAGUACUUACAUCAAUGUAACGCCCCUGUCUCGAAAAACCUUUAAAAAAAAACGUGUCCUUGCACGAGAGAUCUAUUUGUUAGUGACUUUUUAAAAUGUAACAUAACGAUAGUAGCUAUAUUCUCAUUUACUUUAAUGCAAAAUAUGUUAAACCUGUAAUACUCUUGUCAUGUUGUUGGCAGUAUGUGGCUGUUACAGUAGAGCAGGCCUGUUUAAAGUAGUUUGCUUAAACGGUAGUAAUCAGUUUUGGCACAACACCAGAAAUAACAGACAACAUUUUUUAAUUUUUUUUAAUCUGCACUAGAAUUUUCUCCUUCUAGAUCGGGUGACUCCGGUCUCCCACCUUGCAUUGAGAAUAUGUCCUAUAUCGACCAGAGAUUCAGACCAAUGUAUACACCCUGUGGCUUGUCCUCCUCAAUAAAAUGUCAAGUGUAGACAAUAGUUUGGAUGUGGCCCAUUUCUGUCCUCCAUAUAGUGACUAGGGAGGUGUAUAACUGAUGAUGAUCUCUCACAAAGGGCUAUGGAAUGUCUUCAGAUUCACAACAGCUAGGCCAGUUGAUCUGAACCCUGACGUGAUCACACCGUCUGCAUUUUUUUUUUUUUUUACAGCUGGAUGUUCUGGUACAAGUUGUGACAUUUCUCCCCCUGAGUGACCCCAAGUACCACUGUCUCUCUCUCUCGCUCUCUCUAGAUCAUCAGUCGUAGCUCCUAUUCUAUUAAAAUGCCCUUUACAUAUAACUAAGCUGUACUGUGCUGGCUCUGAUAGGGUUCUUUUCAGCACAGUUCCAGCAACAAUGACAUGGUGGAUGUGUAACUAGGCCAGGCCAGUGCAGUUUGUGUCAGCACAGCUGGGCUCAGUAGUGUGAAAGGGGUUUAAUAAUACCAGGGUCUGACUUGGGUCUUCAGUAAUAUGUCUCCCCUGGUCCAGAAACCUGGAGGUGGAGGCUAGAGGAGGAUACGGGUCAGUCAGUUACACCACAGUUUGAAGGCAAAAUAUACAUAUUGCGUUUGCCAUUUUCACGUUUGGUUCUUUAAUGAAGCAGAAAUUAGUGGAAGUAAAUAUCAAAAGUAAGAUGGAAAAAUCUACCCAUUGGUUACCUACAGUACCAGUCAAGAGUUGACACCAACUCAUUCAAGAGUUUUCUUUAUUGUUACUAUUUUCUACAUUAUAGAAUUAUAGUGAAGACAUCAAAACUAUGAAAUAAAACAUAUAGAAUCAUGUAGUAACCAAAAACGUGUUAAACAAAUCAAAAUUAUAUUUUAUAUUUGAGGAUCUUCAAAGUAGCCACCCUUUGCCUUGAUGACAGCUUUGCACACUCUUGGAAUUCUCUCAACCAGCUUCAUCUGGAAUGCAUUUCACUGUCUUGAAGGAGUUCCCACAUUAUGAUGAGCACUUGCUGGCUGCUUUUCCUUCACUCUGCGGUCUAACUCAUCUCAAACCUGAUGCAGCACUCCAUCACUCUCCUUCUUUGUCAAAUAGCCCUCACACAGCCUGGAGGUGUGUUGGGUCAUUGUGCUGUUGGAAAACAAAUGAUAGUCCCACUAAGAGCCAACCAGAUGGGAUGGCAUAUCGCUACAGAAUGCUGUGGUAGCCAUGCUGGUUGUGUGCCUUGAACUCUAAAUAAAUCACAGACAUUGUCACCAGCAAAGCAUCCCCAAACCAUCACACCUCCUCCUUCAUGGUGGGAAAUACACAUGUGGAGAUCAUUAGUUCACUUACUCACAAAGACACGGAGGUUGGAACCAAAAAUCUCAAAUUUGGACUCAUCAGACCAAAGGACAGAUUUCCACCGGUCUAAUGUCCAUUGCUUGUGUUUCUUUGCAGCAAUUCGACCAUGAAGGUCUGAUUCACACAGUCUCCUCUGAACAGUUGAUGUUGAUGUGCCUGUUACUUGAACUCUGUGAAGCAUUUAUUUGGGCUGCAAUUUCAGAGUCUAGUAACUCUAAUGAACUUAUCCUCUGCAGCAGAGGUAAUUCUGGGUCUUCCUUUCCUGUGGCAGUCCUCAUGAGAGCAAGUUUCAUCCUAGUGCUUGAUGGUUUUUGCGACUGCAUUUGAAAAACCUUUAAAAGUUCUUGAAAUGUUUCAAAUUGACUGACCUUCAUGUCUUAAAGUAGUGAUGGACUGUCAUUUCUCUUUGCUUAUUUGAGCUGUUAUUAUCAUAAUAUGGACUUGGUCUUUCACCAAAUAGGGCUAUCUUCUGUUUACCCCUCUACCUUGUCACAACACAACUGAUUGGCUCAAAUGCAUUAAGAAGGAAAGGAAUUCCACAAGUUUACUUUUGAUAAGGCACACCUGUUAAUUGAAAUGCAUUCCAGGUGACUACCUCCAUGAAGCUGGUUGAGAGAAUGCCACGAUUGUGCAAAGCUGUCACUGCAAAGGGUGGCUACUUUGAAGAAUCUCAAAUAUAAAAUCGAUUUUGAUUUGUUUCACUUUUUUUUGGUUACUACAUGAUUCCAUAUGUGUUAUUUCAUAGUUUGGAUGUCUUCACUCUUAUUAUACAAUGUCAAUUUUUAUUUUAUUUUUUUAAUAAAGAAAAACCUUUGAAUUAGUAGGUGUGUCCAAACUUUUGACUGGUACUGUAUGUCCUGAAAUCCUCUCAUUUGUGAUAAGUGUGGACUUGAGGAAAGUGAAUGAAUCUCUGUCUCCAUAGGAACAACAUUGAUGGCCUGGGAUAGUGCCUUGCUUUGGUGGUGGAUUUACAUGACAUGCAUGUACAGUAUAUUUUGUGGCCUUUGAUUAACAUAACGAUAUUUUAUCCCAAUAAAACUAAAGUAAAGGUCAAAGGGAAGCAGUGGAUGACUUGGACAAUUCACUAGCCUGGUCCCAGAUCUGUUUGUGCUGUCUUGCCAACUUUAACCACCAUUGGACUUGGCAACAUGGCCCAACCGGAGCUGGGACCCGGCUACAAUUUCACAACGAGGAUCUAGCAUUUCCUUAAAUCAGUUGAAGUUAAUACCAGGUCAUAGCAUGUGAAUAACAGGUAAUAACACGUUAACAGGUUAAAACAUGUGAAUAACGUGAAAAGCAGGUCCUAACAUGUUAGCAGGUCAUAACAUGUUAACAGGUCAUAACAUGUUAAUAACAGAUGGUUAUUACACUUCAAUCAGAUUGUCUGUUUUGACUCAACCUUCAUUCAGUAUGUAACCUGUAGUUGAUUGUGAUGUAUGCUUGUGUCUUGAUCAAUGAACAUUUACGUUCGAAUAAUAAAACCCUUCAUUUUUUUUCUAUUGGAUUUAAUUAAAGAAAUAUCCAUCGAUGUAGAAUGUAAUUUCAUGGACACAGCUAGACAGGUGUUUGAUGUGUUAGCAUGUGGUUAAGAAGAACUAAAUAACAAUUUCAGUUUUUAUAUUUAUGAAGA
This is a long non-coding RNA of Oncorhynchus tshawytscha (Chinook salmon), 3980 nucleotides long. NCBI's taxonomy places the organism in Eukaryota, Metazoa, Chordata, Actinopteri, Salmoniformes, Salmonidae. The record is from Ensembl.